This is a regulatory RNA element of Firmicutes bacterium CAG:102, 151 nucleotides long. It matches the Rfam family "FMN riboswitch aptamer (RFN element)". From Rfam's summary of the family: The RFN element is a highly conserved domain that is found frequently in the 5'-untranslated regions of prokaryotic mRNAs that encode for flavin mononucleotide (FMN) biosynthesis and transport proteins. This element is a metabolite-dependent riboswitch that directly binds FMN in the absence of proteins. NCBI's taxonomy places the organism in Bacteria, Bacillati, Bacillota. The record is from Rfam.
GUGAUUCUUCGGGGCAGGGUGCAAUUCCCUACCGGCGGUAAAAGUCCGCGACCCUCCAGUAUCUUAAAGCGCGAAGUGCCGAAAGAUACAAAAGGCUGAUAUGGUGCAAUUCCAUGACCGACGGUAACAGUCCGGAUGAGAGAAGAAACUU